GGGAAUAUGUAAGUGCCGGUGCAUUUCGUGGUCUUCAAAAUCAUAGGGGGAUAUAAAAACUCCUCGGGAGGUUCGACUCCUUCAUAUUCCC
RNAcentral lists this transfer RNA (91 nucleotides) under Peptoanaerobacter stomatis. Its description in RNAcentral is "Eubacteriaceae bacterium ACC19a Selenocysteine transfer RNA". It matches the Rfam family "Selenocysteine transfer RNA". Lineage: Bacteria; Bacillati; Bacillota; Clostridia; Peptostreptococcales; Filifactoraceae. The record is from Rfam by way of RNAcentral.